Molecule: ribosomal RNA, 484 nt
Filed under: uncultured bacterium
Lineage: Bacteria
Description: bacterial SSU rRNA
Rfam family: Bacterial small subunit ribosomal RNA
Source: RNAcentral
AAUGAACGUUGGCGGCGUGGAUUAGGCAUGCAAGUCGUGCGAGAAGGGUUCUUUUGCUNGCAUNAGGACCCGGAAAGCGGCGAAAGGGAGAGUAACGCGUGGAUCAUCUACCCCUGGAUCCGGGAUAGCUGUGGGAAACUNCAGGUAAUACCGGAUAACGUCUCCGGACCAAAGGUGUAAUUCCGUCUGGGGAUGAGUCCGCGUCCUACUAGCUUGUUGGUGGGGUAACGGCCUACCAAGGCAAUGAUGGGUACCGGGUGUGAGAGCAUGGCCCGGCUCACUGGGACUGAGACACUGCCCAGACACCUACGGGUGGCUGCAGUCGAGAAUCUUCCGCAAUGGGCGCAAGCCUGACGGAGCGACGCCGCGUGCAGGAUGAAGGCCUUCGGGUUGUAAACCGCUGUCAGUUGGGAGGAAAUGCAUAAGGGUUCUCUCUUAUGUUUGACCGAUCUUCAGAGGAAGUCCGGGCUAAGUUCGUGCCAGC